Molecule: ribosomal RNA, 584 nt
Filed under: uncultured bacterium
Lineage: Bacteria
Description: bacterial SSU rRNA
Rfam family: Bacterial small subunit ribosomal RNA
Source: RNAcentral
ACGGGUGAGUAAUGCGUAGGAAUCUACCUAGUUGAGUGGGAUAGCCUAGGGAAACUUAGGGUAAUACCGCAUAAGUCUUACGGGAGAAAGCAGGGGACUGUAAAAGGCCUUGCGCGAUUAGAUGAGCCUACGUCGGAUUAGCUAGUUGGUAGGGUAAAGGCCUACCAAGGCGAUGAUCCGUAGCUGGUCUGAGAGGACGACCAGCCACACUGGGACUGAGACACGGCCCAGACUCCUACGGGAGGCAGCAGUGGGGAAUAUUGGACAAUGGGCGGAAGCCUGAUCCAGCAAUGCCGCGUGUGUGAAGAAGGCCUGCGGGUUGUAAAGCACUUUCAGUGGGGAGAAAGAAGUUUGUGUUAAUACCACAGAUGGAUGAUGUUACCCACAGAAGAAGCACCGGCUAACUCUGUGCCAGCAGCCGCGGUAAUACAGAGGGUGCGAGCGUUAAUCGGAAUUACUGGGCGUAAAGGGUGCGUAGGUGGUUAAAUAAGUUACAUGUGAAAUUCCUGAGCUCAACUUGGGGACUGCGUGUAAUACUGUAUGACUAGAGUACUGUAGAGGGAAGUGGAAUUUCCGGUGUAGCG